AGAGUUUGAUCAUGGCUCAGAUUGAACGCUGGCGGCAGGCUUAACAUAUGCAAGUCGAGCGGUAACAUUUCUAGCUUGCUAGAAGAUGACGAGCGGCGGACGGGUGAGUAAUACUUAGGAAUCUACCUAGUAGUGGGGGAUAGCUCGGGGAAACUCGAAUUAAUACCGCAUACGUCCUACGGGAGAAAGGGGGCAACUUGUUGCUCUCGCUAUUAGAUGAGCCUAAGUCGGAUUAGCUAGAUGGUGGGGUAAAGGCCUACCAUGGCGACGAUCUGUAGCUGGUCUGAGAGGAUGAUCAGCCACACCGGGACUGAGACACGGCCCGGACUCCUACGGGAGGCAGCAGUGGGGAAUAUUGGACAAUGGGGGCAACCCUGAUCCAGCCAUGCCGCGUGUGUGAAGAAGGCCUUUUGGUUGUAAAGCACUUUAAGCAGUGAAGAAGACUCUUCGGUUAAUACCCGGAGACGAUGACAUUAGCUGCAGAAUAAGCACCGGCUAACUCUGUGCCAGCAGCCGCGGUAAUACAGAGGGUGCAAGCGUUAAUCGGAAUUACUGGGCGUAAAGCGAGCGUAGGUGGCUUGAUAAGUCAGAUGUGAAAUCCCCGGGCUUAACCUGGGAACUGCAUCUGAAACUGUUAGGCUAGAGUAGGUGAGAGGGAAGUAGAAUUUCAGGUGUAGCGGUGAAAUGCGUAGAGAUCUGAAGGAAUACCGAUGGCGAAGGCAGCUUCCUGGCAUCAUACUGACACUGAGGCUCGAAAGCGUGGGUAGCAAACAGGAUUAGAUACCCUGGUAGUCCACGCCGUAAACGAUGUCUACUAGUCGUUGGGUCCCUUGAGGACUUAGUGACGCAGCUAACGCAAUAAGUAGACCGCCUGGGGAGUACGGCCGCAAGGUUAAAACUCAAAUGAAUUGACGGGGCCCGCACAAGCGGUGGAGCAUGUGUUUAAUCGAUGCAACGCGAAGAACCUUACCUGGUCUGAAAAUAUUCUAGAAUCCUGCAGAAGAUGCGGGAGUGCCUUCG
Molecule: ribosomal RNA, 1020 nt
Filed under: Psychrobacter sp. 'A4 isolate-9'
Lineage: Bacteria; Pseudomonadati; Pseudomonadota; Gammaproteobacteria; Moraxellales; Moraxellaceae
Description: bacterial SSU rRNA
Rfam family: Bacterial small subunit ribosomal RNA
Source: RNAcentral